AUGCUAAAAUCUAUCUAGACACUACUUGAUUUUAUGACAUACCAUGAUUAUGAAUCUAGUAAUGGAUGUAAAAACUAUCUUCUUGAAUGACUAUCUUGAGAAAGAUAUCUAUAUGGAGCAGUCUUUUGGGUUUCACUUCCAAUGAUGGACAUCACAAGAUGAGCAAGCUGCAAUAGAUUGAAAUAAGCAUCUUAGAGUUGGAAUAUUUGAUGUAAUCAAAUUGUUUGAUUUCCUCAG
RNAcentral lists this long non-coding RNA (237 nucleotides) under Elaeis guineensis (African oil palm). RNAcentral's name for it is "long non-coding RNA (EGUI_LNC056366)". The record is from RNAcentral. Lineage: Eukaryota; Viridiplantae; Streptophyta; Magnoliopsida; Arecales; Arecaceae.